AUUGAACGCUGGCGGCAGGCCUAACACAUGCAAGUCGAGCGGCAGCGGGAAAGUAGCUUGCUACUUUUGCCGGCGAGCGGCGGACGGGUGAGUAAUGCCUGGGAUCUGCCCAGUCGAGGGGGAUAACUACUGGAAACGGUAGCUAAUACCGCAUACGCCCUACGGGGGAAAGCAGGGGACCUUUGGGCCUUGCGCGAUUGGAUGAACCCAGGCGGGAUUAGCUAGUUGGUGAGGUAAUGGCUCACCAAGGCGACGAUCCCUAGCUGGUCUGAGAGGAUGAUCAGCCACACUGGAACUGAGACACGGUCCAGACUCCUACGGGAGGCAGCAGUGGGGAAUAUUGCACAAUGGGGGAAACCCUGAUGCAGCCAUGCCGCGUGUGUGAAGAAGACCUUCGGGUUGUAAAGCACUUUCAGCGAGGAGGAAAGGUUGGUAGCUAAUAACUGCCAGCUGUGACGUUACUCGCAGAAGAAGCACCGGCUAACUCCGUGCCAGCAGCCGCAGUAA
Molecule: ribosomal RNA, 507 nt
Filed under: uncultured bacterium
Lineage: Bacteria
Description: partial 16S ribosomal RNA
Rfam family: Bacterial small subunit ribosomal RNA
Source: RNAcentral